Molecule: long non-coding RNA, 536 nt
Organism: Cucumis melo (muskmelon)
Lineage: Eukaryota; Viridiplantae; Streptophyta; Magnoliopsida; Cucurbitales; Cucurbitaceae
Exons: 2
Source: RefSeq, a predicted model, not a curated record
ACAAAAAGAACCUUACGAAAAGUGUUGUUCGUCCGUCCUCUCCCUUCAUCAAAUUGUCGAACUCCACCCUCAACCUCGUCUGCAAACGCCGCCGACCAUCUCCAAACUCUUCGCCCACCCUCGACCUCGUCUGAUAAGUGAUAAGUCAAUUACUGUUACCAAAAACCAUUCUCUUUUUGUAUGUAAAACAACUUGAGGUAGCACUUCUAUUCUUCAAAUGGAACGAACCAAUUUCCAAUUUGUAUGAAUCCUCAGCGUCUACUCCGGCGGCUCCUAGCAAGACGCUCACGCCACCUUCUACGGCGGCAGCGAUGCCUUCGGAACUAUGGAUUUUGCAAGAAUCCAUUGAAGCAGCGAAGUCAUGUAUGCGGCAAUUGAUUGAUUUAUAGGUCUUUUUGUAGGUUUGGUAGCCAAAUUUUGGUUCUAAUGUAUUUAUUUAAAUAGCUUGUUCAUCACUUUAUUGUACAAACACUUUAUGACAAACAAUUGUACAUAUAUUAAAGUAUAUAUAUUAAUACGUUCACCAUUUCUUUCAA